CCGUCAAUUCAUUUGAGUUUUAAUCUUGCGAUCGUACUCCCCAGGCGGGGCACUUAAUGCGUUAGCUGCGUCGCAGAAACCGUGGAAGGUUCCCACAACUAGUGCCCACCGUUUACGGUCUGGACUACCAGGGUAUCUAAUCCUGUUCGCUCCCCAGACUUUCGCUCCUCAGUGUCAGUAUUGGCCCAGAGACCUGCCUUCGCCAUUGGUGUUCCUCCUGAUAUCUGCGCAUUCCACCGCUACACCAGGAAUUCCAGUCUCCCCUACCAAACUCUAGUUUGCCCGUAUCGAAUGCAGGCCUGAGGUUGAGCCUCAGGUUUUCACAUCCGACGUAACAAACGACCUACGAGCUCUUUACGCCCAAUAAUUCCGGACAACGCUUGCACCCUAUGUAUUACCG
Molecule: unclassified non-coding RNA, 400 nt
Filed under: uncultured fungus
Lineage: Eukaryota; Fungi
Description: sequence contains ITS1
Source: RNAcentral